Molecule: ribosomal RNA, 285 nt
Filed under: uncultured bacterium
Lineage: Bacteria
Description: partial 16S ribosomal RNA
Rfam family: Bacterial small subunit ribosomal RNA
Source: RNAcentral
ACCUACGGGGGGCAGCAGUAGGGAAUCUUCCACAAUGGACGAAAGUCUGAUGGAGCAACGCCGCGUGAGUGAAGAAGGGUUUCGGCUCGUAAAGCUCUGUUGGUAGUGAAGAAAGAUAGAGGUAGUAACUGGCCUUUAUUUGACGGUAAUUACUUAGAAAGUCACGGCUAACUACGUGCCAGCAGCCGCGGUAAUACGUAGGUGGCAAGCGUUGUCCGGAUUUAUUGGGCGUAAAGCGAGUGCAGGCGGUUUAAUAAGUCUGAUUUGGAAACCUUCCGCUCCACC